AGUGACAAGAAAUAACAAUACAGGACUUUAACAGUUUUGUAAUUGGAAUGAGUUGAGUAUAAACCCCUUUACAAGUAUCAAUUGGAGGGCAAGUCUGGUGCCAGCAGCCGCGGUAAUUCCAGCUCCAAUAGCGUAUAUUAAAGUUGUUGCAGUUAAAAAGCUCGUAGUUGGAUUUCUGUUAAUAAUUUAUAUAUAAUAUUUAACAUAUUUAUAUAAUAUUAACAUAAUUCAUAUUACUAUUUAUAGUAUAUGAAACUUUACUUUGAGAAAAUUAGAGUGCUUAAAGCAGG
RNAcentral lists this ribosomal RNA (290 nucleotides) under Cryptosporidium canis. RNAcentral describes it as "partial 18S ribosomal RNA". It matches the Rfam family "Eukaryotic small subunit ribosomal RNA", at positions 466 to 784 of the family's 1831-position model. The record is from RNAcentral. Lineage: Eukaryota; Apicomplexa; Conoidasida; Eucoccidiorida; Cryptosporidiidae.